Gallus gallus (chicken) is the source of this 406-nucleotide long non-coding RNA. The record is from Ensembl. Lineage: Eukaryota; Metazoa; Chordata; Aves; Galliformes; Phasianidae.
CGGCCCCGCAAAGCUGACUUGUGGGGCAGGAACAGCUAAUAAGCAAAACAGAACCUGAAUGGAAUCAUGAAAAUUCUAGUGGCAAAGUGUAUGCUGGAAUGUAAAUGGUGAUAUUCUCUUAAAGUUUUAAGCAGCAAGCUGAAAUGCAACUGAUGCAGUGUGAUGUCAUGCCCUGAAACUUAAAAGUAAAUAGCUUUUGAGAAUUGGAGAAGAUUGAGAGAAUACCUACGCUGCCUCCACUAAAAGACUGGAAACUGUAAGUCAGCUUGCUGCCUUAGUGAGUGGGGGAAAAAAAUUACAUAUACUACCCAGAAGAUCUCUGUCAGCACAAAAUAACCAACAUAGGAGCAACUCUACAGCCAAAAGAAUUCCUUUGUGAGUCUUAGCUAAUGUUGUUUGUGGAAGG